RNAcentral lists this ribosomal RNA (429 nucleotides) under Chloroflexota bacterium. RNAcentral describes it as "Chloroflexi bacterium partial 16S ribosomal RNA". It matches the Rfam family "Bacterial small subunit ribosomal RNA", at positions 355 to 776 of the family's 1533-position model. Lineage: Bacteria; Bacillati; Chloroflexota. The record is from RNAcentral.
UGGGGAAUAUUGCACAAUGGGCGCAAGCCUGAUGCAGCCAUGCCGCGUGUAUGAAGAAGGCCUUCGGGUUGUAAAGUACUUUCAGCGGGGAGGAAGGGAGUAAAGUUAAUACCUUUGCUCAUUGACGUUACCGACAGAAGAAGCACCGGCUAACUCCGUGCCAGCAGCCGCGGUAAUACGGAGGGUGCAAGCGUUAAUCGGAAUUACUGGGCGUAAAGCGCACGCAGGCGGUUGAUUGAGUCAGAUGUGAAAUCCCCGGGCUUAACCCGGGAAUUGCAUCUGAUACUGGUCAGCUAGAGUCUUGUAGAGGGGGGUAGAAUUCCAUGUGUAGCGGUGAAAUGCGUAGAGAUGUGGAGGAAUACCGGUGGCGAAGGCGGCCCCCUGGACAAAGACUGACGCUCAGGUGCGAAAGCGUGGGGAGAAAACAGG